Molecule: ribosomal RNA, 253 nt
Filed under: uncultured bacterium
Lineage: Bacteria
Description: partial 16S ribosomal RNA
Rfam family: Bacterial small subunit ribosomal RNA
Source: RNAcentral
UACGUAGGGUGCAAGCGUUGUCCGGAAUUAUUGGGCGUAAAGAGCUCGUAGGCGGUCUGUCGCGUCUGCUGUGAAAACUCAGGGCUUAACCCUGAGCUUGCAGUGGGUACGGGCAGACUAGAGUGCGGUAGGGGAGACUGGAAUUCCUGGUGUAGCGGUGAAAUGCGCAGAUAUCAGGAGGAACACCAAUAGCGAAGGCAGCUCGCUGGGACGUUACUGACACUGAGGCGCGAAAGCGUGGGGAGCGAACAGG